This 497-nucleotide ribosomal RNA is filed under the name uncultured bacterium. RNAcentral describes it as "partial 16S ribosomal RNA". It matches the Rfam family "Bacterial small subunit ribosomal RNA", at positions 28 to 507 of the family's 1533-position model. The record is from RNAcentral.
GAUGAACGCUGGCGGCGUGCCUAAUACAUGCAAGUCGAGCGAACAGAUGAGGAGCUUGCUCCUCUGACGUUAGCGGCGGACGGGUGAGUAACACGUGGAUAACCUACCUAUAAGACUGGGAUAACUUCGGGAAACCGGAGCUAAUACCGGAUAAUCUAUUGAACCGUAUGGUUCAAUAGUGAAAGACGGUUUUGCUGUCUCUUAUAGAUGGAUCCGCGCCGCAUUAGCUAGUUGGUACGGUAACGGCUUACCAAGGCGACGAUGCGUAGCCGACCGGAGAGGGUGGUAGGCCACACGAGAACUGGGACACGGUCCAGACUCCUACGGGAGGCAGCAGUAGGGAAUCUGCCGCAAUAGGCGAAAGCCUGACGGAGCAACGCCGCGUGAGUGAUGAAGGUCUUCGGAUCGUAAAACUCUGUUAUUAGGGAAGAACAAAUGUGUAAGUAACUAUGCACGUCGUGACGGUACCUAAUCAGAAAGCAACGGCUAACUACGUG